CCCGCAGUGUCCACGAGGCCAGUUUCUGCACCAUGAACACAAAUAUCCGGAGAGGCGAAGUGAGUAUUUGAAUGCCCUCACUUUAUGGAUGAGGAAACUGAGUCACAGAAGGUAUGGAACUUGUCCAGGGCUUCAUAGCUGGUAAGGAAGGAGCCAGGAUUAGAAGCUCUAAUCACUAGUCUACACCACCUGUGCAGCUAGGGUUGCAGGGAAAGGAAGGAACAGAAGCAUCUAGAACCUGGAGAGGAUGGAUAAGUAGGAGGGGACAGAUUUGAUGUGAAGUUGGAGAACACCCAAAGGAGAGAGAAGAAAUUGUUCACAGAACUGAGAAAUCCUGGAGGAGACUGAGCUGGUCUUUUCCAGUGUACUCAGACACAUCUAAUGUGAUAAGAAGGGAGCCUGAGGGGAUAACGGACAAUUCUGGCCAUGGUUGAAUAGAGAACAAGGUGAGCUUCUGAGAGUAGGGCAAACCAAGGCAGGUUAGGGGGCAUUUGAGAUGUUGGAAUAGGUUCGGUCAAGCCUGUAAGAGUUGAUUGAAGGUUGGCCAAGUAGCCGUGGAUGGGUCGGGUGAAUGGGAGUGACUCAGCACAGUGUGGU
This 597-nucleotide long non-coding RNA is filed under the name Equus asinus (donkey). RNAcentral describes it as "lncRNA (ENSEASG00005030839.1, ENSEASG00020016312.1)". The record is from RNAcentral. Lineage: Eukaryota; Metazoa; Chordata; Mammalia; Perissodactyla; Equidae.